RNAcentral lists this ribosomal RNA (243 nucleotides) under uncultured Actinomycetales bacterium. Its description in RNAcentral is "partial 16S ribosomal RNA". It matches the Rfam family "Bacterial small subunit ribosomal RNA", at positions 101 to 334 of the family's 1533-position model. The record is from RNAcentral. Lineage: Bacteria; Bacillati; Actinomycetota; Actinomycetes; Actinomycetales.
GCUCGAGUGGCAACGGGUGAGUAACACGUGAGUAACCUGCCCUUGACUUUGGGAUAACUUCAGGAAACUGGGGCUAAUACCGGAUAGGAGCUCCUGCUGCAUGGUGGGGGUUGGAAAGUUUCGGCGGUUGGGGAUGGACUCGCGGCUUAUCAGCUUGUUGGUGGGGUAGUGGCUUACCAAGGCUUUGACGGGUAGCCGGCCUGAGAGGGUGACCGGCCACAUUGGGACUGAGACACGGCCCAG